UUUAAAGGUCGAACAGACCUAUUACUUAAAGCUUCUGCACUUUAAAAUUUCUUUAAUUCAACAUCGAGGUCGCAAACUUUAUUAUAGAUAUGAACUCUCCAAUAAAAUUACGCUGUUAUCCCUAAGGUAACUUAUUCUAAUAAUCAAUAAUAAUGGAUCAAAUAUUCAUAAAUCAAUGUUAAUAUAUCAAGAAAGUUUAUUAUAUUUCCCUGUCACCCCAACAAAAUAUUUUAUUAAAUAAAUAAUAAUUAUUUUACCAUAAAAAUCUAAUUAACACAAUAUAAAGUUCUAUAGGGUCUUCUCGUCCUUUAAGAUCAUUCAAGCCUUUUAACUAGAAAGCUAAAUUAUUAAAAUUUUGAAAAUGAGACAGUUUGUAUUUCGUUCAACCAUUCAUACUAGCCUCUAAUUAAAAGGCAAAUGAUUAUGCUACCUUUGCACAGUCAGAAUACUGCGGCCCUUCAAAAUUCAGUGGGCAGGUUAGACUUUAUAUUAUAAACAAAAAGAC
This 505-nucleotide ribosomal RNA is filed under the name Myrmeleon taiwanensis. Its description in RNAcentral is "partial 16S ribosomal RNA". Lineage: Eukaryota; Metazoa; Arthropoda; Insecta; Neuroptera; Myrmeleontidae. The record is from RNAcentral.